AAUAACUUUUUGCUAAAAAAAAAAAAAAAAAGACAUUUUAAACUGAACACAAGAAUGGACUGUAAAUAACUGGAGAAAACCAAAAGAGCAUAACCAGUGCUCAAACUCCAAGUCCCAGAAGGCACAGCGCGCGUGACGAGACAUAUUGGCGGCAUUUCUCCUCUGUUGUGAUUGGCCUAUAGACAACUUUCUCAUUCUACUUGGACUGGCAAUGAUAUCCAACGGGACGACGCUGCGGUUACACGACAAAACAACCUCACAAUCAAGAAGACUUCUUUGGCAAGCCCCAGCGGAACGAAACCUUCGGGCGAGGAAAUCGAAAGGCGCAGCGAGGAGAGAAAAAAAUGCAAUGACAGGGCUCCGACCUGCAUGGAUGAUCUGGCAACUGCAAUCAAAGAGAGUUGGCACCAAAUUGAUGAAGAAUACUCAUCAAGUCCAUGCCUCAGAGACUGCAAGCUGUCAUAAAAGCCAGAGUGCAAGUCAAUGCAGACAUUUUGAAUAAGCGCUCGCAUAUGUCACGCAGAUGGAUUCACGCGCAGCUGACCACAGAGGAGGGAAUUCCCACUUUGGACCAGACAAAGGGACUAUUUGCAGGGAUUUGUCGUGGUGUGCGUGCAUGCAUGCGUACAGGCCCGGCUUGCCAAAGCAGUUUGACAACUUCCCAUUUGGUGAGUGAUUGCAUUUUUAUUUGUACCAGACAGGACACGACUGCACAUUUCCAAAUGCGACGUAGCAUAAAUAACACCAAUUUCCCGCUCGGCUUAAAUAAAAGAAAAUAAUAAAUAGAAAUAAAUAGUGGAAAUGAAGUUACAAACUGUUACAGUUCAUAUCAGGUGGUUUUGUCAUCUCCAUUGAGAUUGAAGCAGUUCUCAGUCACCGUUGUACGAUGAAUAAAAGGCCCGGAACGACCGUGUUUCCCAAUUGCUCGAAUAAAAAUAUUCGAAAAUAAAAUAUGAAUGAUGGAUUCAAGGGCGUAUUUGAACAUAGCCUCAAAAUUCAUUCAUUUGUUGUAAGGGCACCUGUUAACACCGUAGUUAAAAAAAAAAUAUAUAUAUAUAUAAAUUAAAUAUCAAUAAUUUAAAAAAUUAUAAGAUAAAAAGUAGAAAAAAAUAAAAAUAAUAAACUAAUUUAAGAAAUAAAAAUAUCUAAAUGCAAGCCAUCCCAAGCUGUAGUAAAAUAGUUAAAUAUAAUCAAUAAUUGUAAAAGUAUCAAAAUAUUUAUAAAAAAAAAAAAAGAUAAAAGAUUAACAAAAAUAAUACAAGAAAAUAAUAAGUUAAAAAAAAAAUUUUUUUUUUUUUUAAUAGAAAAUAUUCAAGUGGAGGCCACAACGAGCUGAAAUAAAAAAAUAUGAGAAAUUAUAUUAAUAAAUAAACUAGUUUUUUAAAAGAAGGUUCAAAUGUAGGCCUUCACGAGCCUUUUUUUUUUUAAUUUGACAAAAUAUUUAAAUUAAAAAAUUAUUGUAAAAGAAUAAAAAUUUUAUAAAAUAAAAUGAUAAAAGAUAAACAAAAACUAAUAUAAGAAAAUAUUAAAAAUUAUAAAAAUUAAAAAAAAAUAAAGAUUCAAGUGCAGGCUUUGACGACCCAAUUUUUUUUGUCAAUAAAUAAUUAUAAAAAUAUCAAAAUUGUGUAGAAUUAAAAAAAAUAAUGAUAUAUAUUAAUAAUAAAAAUAAUGAACUAAUUUAAAAAAAAAAGGAUUCAAGCGCAGGCCAGGAUAAGCCUAAAAAAUUAAAUAUAAAAAAUCAUUAUAAAAGUAUCAAAGUAAGGGAUUUAAAACAAAAAAAAACUUGAAUGAGGGAUUCUGGGGCAUGCCGUGAAUAAGAGUAAAAAAUGCGAUUUGAAAC
Corythoichthys intestinalis (scribbled pipefish) is the source of this 1840-nucleotide long non-coding RNA. RefSeq lists it as uncharacterized. NCBI's taxonomy places the organism in Eukaryota, Metazoa, Chordata, Actinopteri, Syngnathiformes, Syngnathidae. The transcript has 5 exons. The record is from RefSeq and is a predicted model, not a curated record.